GACGAAGGGGGCUAGCGUUGUUCGGAAUUACUGGGCGUAAAGCGAGUGUAGGUGGUUGUCCAAGUUGGAUGUGAAAGCCUUGAGCUCAACUCAAGAAAUGCAUUCAGGACUGGGCGGCUAGAGGACCGGAGAGGAUAGUGGAAUUCCCAGUGUAGUGGUGAAAUACGUAGAGAUUGGGAAGAACACCAGUGGCGAAGGCGGCUAUCUGGACGGUUUCUGACACUAAGACUCGAAAGCGUGGGGAGCGAACAGG
RNAcentral lists this ribosomal RNA (253 nucleotides) under uncultured bacterium. RNAcentral's name for it is "partial 16S ribosomal RNA". It matches the Rfam family "Bacterial small subunit ribosomal RNA", at positions 524 to 776 of the family's 1533-position model. The record is from RNAcentral.